UUAUAAUUUUUUAAAAUUUCAAUCUUCUUUGUUAUUUUUUAUUAUAAAAUUUAAAAUAUAUAAAUAAUUGUUAAAUAGUUUAGACUAUUGGUAUUGAAUAUAAAUGUUAAUUUUUAUAAUAUUGAGAAUUCUAAUAUAAAUUGUAUAUUUAAAAAUUAAAAAAAAAAUUGAUGGAAUUUAAGUUAAUUUUAUACUUUACAAAAGUUAGUUGUGAAAUCAUAUAAAAUACAUUAACUUAGUACGCACUAGAUGCAAGAAAAAACUUUUCUUUUUAUUUCACUAACUAAUGAGAAAUUCCUCCAUCCUUAGACAUGUGGCAGAGAGGGUGGAGGCGCGGGCGCGAGGCGCGAGAGGGCGCUGGCACGAGCAUAUAGAAAAAAAAUUAUAAUUUUUUAAAAUUUCAAUCUACUUUGUUAUUUUUUAUUAUAAAAUUUAAAAUAUAUAAAUAAUUGUUAAAUAGUUUAGACUAUUGGUAUUAAAUGUAAAUGUUAAUUUUAUAAUAUUGAGAAUUCUAAUAUAAAUUGUAUAUUUAAAAAUUUAAAAACAAAGAUUGAUGAAAUUUAAGUUAAUUUUAUACUUUACGNAUUUUUUAUUAUAAAAUUUAAAAUAUAUAAAUAAUUGUUAAAUAGUUUAGACUAUUGGUAUUAAAUGUAAAUGUUAAUUUUAUAAUAUUGAGAAUUCUAAUAUAAAUUGUAUAUUUAAAAAUUUAAAAACAAAGAUUGAUGAAAUUUAAGUUAAUUUUAUACUUUACGAAAGUUAGUUGUGAAAUCAUAUAAAAUAUAUUAACUUAGUACGCACUAGAUGCAAGAAAAGACUUUUCUUUUUAUUUCACUAACUAAUGGAAAACUAUCAUGCCUAUUAAAAAUUUUGAAUGUGCUCAUUGUACAAUUAAUUUUUUAGACACGUGGCUAUGUUUGAAAUAAUUAUUAUUGGGUAAUUUUUUUUGUACCUCUCAAAAUAUUAGCAAUAUCAUAGAUAACCUUACAAAAUUAGUAACAUCAAAGCAAACAAAACAGAACAAAAUGAGAAAAUAUUUAAUAAAGUUGAAGAAUUAUUUCAAAAUAGUUUAUUAUUGAGAGAACUCCUUAUAUUUUUUAUAUUAGAAAAGAUAGUUAUAUUUAUUUAAAAUUAUUUUAUAAUUUAUCCGUAAUAUUUUAUAAUUAUUUUAAAAUUAAUUUUUAUAAUUUAAUUUUAAAGAUUGAAUUUUAAAGUAACAAUCCUCAACAUC
This 1228-nucleotide long non-coding RNA is filed under the name Ananas comosus (pineapple). Its description in RNAcentral is "long non-coding RNA (ACOM_LNC025341)". The record is from RNAcentral. Lineage: Eukaryota; Viridiplantae; Streptophyta; Magnoliopsida; Poales; Bromeliaceae.